RNAcentral lists this small nucleolar RNA (123 nucleotides) under Sciurus vulgaris (Eurasian red squirrel). Its description in RNAcentral is "Small nucleolar RNA SNORA72 (ENSSVLG00005003615.1)". It matches the Rfam family "Small nucleolar RNA SNORA72". From Rfam's summary of the family: U72 is a member of the H/ACA class of snoRNAs. The snoRNA gene is located in intron 4 of the ribosomal L30 protein gene in human, mouse and chicken. The record is from Rfam by way of RNAcentral. Lineage: Eukaryota; Metazoa; Chordata; Mammalia; Rodentia; Sciuridae.
CUACAAAUAUUCUCACUGUUCUGAUUUUGUAAUAAUCAGGACAGGCUAAGCAUUUACUAUAUUAAGACCAUAUGUCCCAAGACUUAAUUCUUUCUUUAGGUUUUAUAAAUACCGAUGAUACAC